Molecule: transfer RNA, 72 nt
Filed under: Anthenea aspera
Lineage: Eukaryota; Metazoa; Echinodermata; Asteroidea; Valvatida; Oreasteridae
Description: tRNA-Ile
Rfam family: tRNA
About the family: Transfer RNA (tRNA) molecules are approximately 80 nucleotides in length. Their secondary structure includes four short double-helical elements and three loops (D, anti-codon, and T loops).
Source: RNAcentral
GAAUUCGUUCCUUAAGGUAAGGGCACUUAGCUGAUAAUUAAGUUGAAGAAGGUUAAAUUCCUUCCGGGUUUU